CGUGCCAGCAGCCGCGGUAAUACGAAGGUGGCAAGCGUUAUUCGGAAUCAUUGGGCUUAAAGGGCACGCAGGCGGAACAGUGUGUGUUGUGUGAAAUCCCCCGGCUUGACCGGGGAAUUGCACAGCAAACUGCUGUUCUUGAGGCAGGUAGGGGUGCAUGGAACUCUUGGUGGAGCGGUGGAAUGCGUAGAUAUCAAGAGGAACGCCAGAGGUGAAGACGGUGCACUGGGCCUGUCCUGACGCUGAGGUGCGAAAGCGUGGGGAGCGAACGGGAUUAGAUACCCCGGUAGUCCACGCCGUAAACGAUGUCUACUAGGUCGUGGGUGUUCUGACACAUUCACGGCCGGAGCAAAAGUGUUUAGUAGACCGCCUGGGGAGUACGGCCGCAAGGUUAAAACUCAAAUGAAUUGACGGGGGCUCACACAAGCGGUGGAGCAUGUGGAUUAAUUCGAAGCAACGCGCAGAACCUUACCUGGGUUUGACAUGCUUGUAUGCCUUCUCUGAAAGGAGUUAGGCUGCCUUCGGGCGAAACUUGCACAGGUGCUGCAUGGCUGUCGUCAGCUCGUGUCAUGAGAUGUCGGGUUAAGUCCUUUAACGAGCGAAACCCUUGCCGUUAGUUGCCAGCGAGUAAUGUCGGGGACUCUAACGGGACUGCCGGUGUUAAACCGGAGGAAGGUGGGGAUGACGUCAAGUCCUCAUGGCCUUUAUGCCCAGGGCUUCACACGUGCUACAAUGGCAAUUACAGAGCGACGCGAUACCGCGAGGUGGAGCAAAUCGCAAAAAAAUUGCCUCAGUUCGGAUUGCAGGCUGGCAAUUCGCCUGCAUGAAGUCGGAAUCGCUAGUA
RNAcentral lists this ribosomal RNA (844 nucleotides) under uncultured organism. RNAcentral's name for it is "bacterial SSU rRNA". It matches the Rfam family "Bacterial small subunit ribosomal RNA", at positions 504 to 1340 of the family's 1533-position model. The record is from RNAcentral.